Molecule: long non-coding RNA, 456 nt
Organism: Archocentrus centrarchus (flier cichlid)
Lineage: Eukaryota; Metazoa; Chordata; Actinopteri; Cichliformes; Cichlidae
Exons: 3
Source: RefSeq, a predicted model, not a curated record
GGGCUUCACUGCGGCUCAUCAAUUUCCUUUUUCCAGACCUGGGAAUUACAAUGAAAAAUGUAGGUGACACAUUUCCAUUCACAAUCCACGAAUCGCAGUAGGGAUCCCAGCGGAGGCGACAAAAGAAGAAAGCAGGGGAAAAUGGUGACGGGUGCCGCAUCUAUAGGAUCAGCAUCCUCCUCUCUGUGGAGUCCCUGCGUAAAAGAAAAAUCAGAGUGAAAGCUGGUGAAGAAGAGGAAGUGAACCUGUGAGAGACAGGAAGGCGAGGAGAAACAGAGCGAAGGAUCUGAUCGGGACCGUUUCUGUGAAGGUUUUCCUCCAGGAUUUUUCUCAGCUGUUUCAGAGACGAGGCUCCUCGCUAACAGUUCCUGCUCCUUUUCCACUCUUUUCAUUUUGAUUCGUUUAUGUGGUCGGGAUCGAGAUUUCUGACCUCUUCCCUUCUCGUCUGCUGUUUUG